CCGGCGCACGGGUGCGUAACGCGUAUGCAACUUACCUAUCAGAGGGGGAUAACCCGGCGAAAGUCGGACUAAUACCGCAUGAAGCAGGGGCCCCGCAUGGGGAUAUUUGCUAAAGAUUCAUCGCUGAUAGAUAGGCAUGCGUUCCAUUAGGCAGUUGGCGGGGUAACGGCCCACCAAACCGACGAUGGAUAGGGGUUCUGAGAGGAAGGUCCCCCACAUUGGUACUGAGACACGGACCAA
RNAcentral lists this ribosomal RNA (240 nucleotides) under uncultured bacterium. RNAcentral's name for it is "partial 16S ribosomal RNA". It matches the Rfam family "Bacterial small subunit ribosomal RNA", at positions 95 to 334 of the family's 1533-position model. The record is from RNAcentral.